This 364-nucleotide ribosomal RNA is filed under the name Clostridioides difficile. RNAcentral's name for it is "bacterial LSU rRNA". It matches the Rfam family "Bacterial large subunit ribosomal RNA", at positions 161 to 528 of the family's 2925-position model. Lineage: Bacteria; Bacillati; Bacillota; Clostridia; Peptostreptococcales; Peptostreptococcaceae. The record is from RNAcentral.
AAUACAUAGCUUAAUGAGGGGAACUCAGGGAACUGAAACAUCUAAGUACCUGAAGGAAGAGAAAGAAAUUCGAUUCCGUAAGUAGCGGCGAGCGAACGCGGAUUAGCCCAAACCAAUAAAGUUUUCUUUAUUGGGGUUGCGGACAUAUCAUAACGAAGAGGUAUCGUAAUUGAAGAGGUUUGGAAAGACCCACCACAGAAGGUAAUAGUCCUGUAUGUUAAACGAGAAGACGUUAGAUAUGAUCCAGAGUACCACGGGACACGUGAAACCCUGUGGGAAGCAGGAGGGACCACCCUCCAAGGCUAAAUACUACCUAGUGACCGAUAGCGUAUAGUACCGUGAGGGAAAGGUGAAAAGAACCCCG